RNAcentral lists this ribosomal RNA (468 nucleotides) under uncultured bacterium. Its description in RNAcentral is "partial 16S ribosomal RNA". It matches the Rfam family "Bacterial small subunit ribosomal RNA", at positions 28 to 507 of the family's 1533-position model. The record is from RNAcentral.
GACGAACGCUGGCGGCGUGCUUAACACAUGCAAGUCGAACGGAAAGGCCCUGCUUUUGUGGGGUGCUCGAGUGGCGAACGGGUGAGUAACACGUGAGUAACCUGCCCUUGACUUUGGGAUAACUUCAGGAAACUGGGGCUAAUACCGGAUAGGAGCUCCUGCUGCAUGGUGGGGGUUGGAAAGUUUCGGCGGUUGGGGAUGGACUCGCGGCUAAUCAGCUUGUUGGUGGGGUAGUGGCUUACCAAGGCUUUGACGGGUAGCCGGCCUGAGAGGGUGACCAGCCACAUUGGGACUGAGGUACGGCCCAGACUCCUACGGGAGGCAGCAGUGGGGAAUAUUGCACAAUGGGCGGAAGCCUGAUGCAGCAACGCCGCGUGCGGGAUGACGGCCUUCGGGUUGUAAACCGCUUUCGCCUGUGACGAAGCGUGAGUGACGGUAAUGGGUAAAGAAGCACCGGCUAACUACGUG